RNAcentral lists this ribosomal RNA (466 nucleotides) under uncultured bacterium. RNAcentral describes it as "partial 16S ribosomal RNA". It matches the Rfam family "Bacterial small subunit ribosomal RNA", at positions 36 to 507 of the family's 1533-position model. The record is from RNAcentral.
GCUUCCCUCUUUCUUCGUGCUUAACACAUGCCAGUCGAACGGAAAGGCUCCUGCUUGCAGGGGUACUCGAGUGGCGAACGGGUGAGUAACACGUGGGUGAUCUGCCCUGCACUUCGGGAUAAGCCUGGGAAACUGGGUCUAAUACCGGAUAGGACGAUGGUUUGGAUGCCAUUGUGGAAAGUUUUUCGGUGUGGGAUGAGCUCGCGGCCUAUCAGCUUGUUGGUGGGGUAAUGGCCUACCAAGGCGUCGACGGGUAGCCGGCCUGAGAGGGUGUACGGCCACAUUGGGACUGAGAUAAGGCCCAGACUCCUACGGGAGGCAGCAGUGGGGAAUAUUGCACAAUGGGCGCAAGCCUGAUGCAGCGACGCCGCGUGGGGGAUGACGGCCUUCGGGUUGGAAACUCCUUUCGCUAGGGACGAAGCGUUUUGUGACGGUACCUGGAGAAGAAGCACCGGCUAACUACGUG